RNAcentral lists this ribosomal RNA (465 nucleotides) under Aequipecten tehuelchus madrynensis. RNAcentral's name for it is "partial 16S ribosomal RNA". It matches the Rfam family "Bacterial large subunit ribosomal RNA", at positions 1905 to 2605 of the family's 2925-position model. The record is from RNAcentral. Lineage: Eukaryota; Metazoa; Mollusca; Bivalvia; Pectinida; Pectinidae.
CGGUGAGUUGAAGCUUAAACGGAUGCGGUAAAGCGUGCUAAGGUAGCUAAGUUAUGGCCUAGUUAAUUGUAGGUCCUGUGAAUGGUUUGACGAGUUUUCUUCUGUCUCUAGUUUGUUUAGGUGAACUUGAAUUGGAUGUGCAAAUGCUUCCUUGGGAAAGAAAGACGAGAAGACCCCGUGAAGUUAGAAAUUAGUGGUAGGGUUUAUUCACCCUAUCUCUUGGUUUUGGCUGGGGCAGCAAGGGGGCAAAUUUAGACCUCUUAAGGUGUAGCACUGGUGAGUAAUGACCCAUGGAAUAAAAAUGCAUGAUUAGUAGAAGAAGUUACUCCGGGGAUAACAGCGUAAUCCGUCUUGAUAGCUCUUAUAGAUGGGCGGGUUUGCGACCUCGAUGUUGGCUCUGGAUAUCCUGAGGCUGUAGGCGGUCUCAAGGGUUGGUUCGUUCGCCCAUUAAAAUCCAACGUGAUC